This 327-nucleotide ribosomal RNA is filed under the name uncultured bacterium. Its description in RNAcentral is "bacterial SSU rRNA". It matches the Rfam family "Bacterial small subunit ribosomal RNA", at positions 796 to 1130 of the family's 1533-position model. The record is from RNAcentral.
CAUACUGUAAACGAUGAGUGUUAGAUAUUGAAAAAAAUUUUUAAUAUUACAGCUAACGCGUUAAACACCCCGCCUGAGAAGUACGAUCGCAAGAUUGAAACUUAAAGGAGAUGACGGGGGCUCGCUACAAGCGGUGGAGUAUGUGAUUUAAUGCGAUGACACACGCAAAACCUUACCAGUGCUUGACAUGUAAUGAAUAAAAUAUAUAGAGAUAUAUAUUUGUUUUUACACAGGGUCGCAUGGCUGUCGUAAGUUCGUGUCAUGAGAUGUCUGGGUGACACCGUUUGAACGAACAGAACCCUUUUCUUUAUUCGCAAAGAUUUAAUA